AACGAACGCUGGCGGCAUGCCUUAUACAUGCAAGUCGAACGCGAAAGUCUUCGGAUGAGUAGAGUGGCAAACGGGUGAGUAACGCGUGGGAAUAUACCUUAUAGUACGGAAUAGCCUCGGGAAACUGGGAUUAAUACCGUAUACGCCCUUAGGGGGAAAGAUUUAUCGCUAUAAGAUUAGCCCGCGUCAGAUUAGCUUGUUGGUGGGGUAACGGCCUACCAAGGCAACGAUCUGUAGCUGGUCUGAGAGGAUGACCAGCCACAUUGGGACUGAGAUACGGCCCAAACUCCUACGGGAGGCAGCAGUAGGGAAUAUUGGACAAUGGACGAAAGUCUGAUCCAGCAAUGCCGCGUGAGUGAUGAAGGCCUUAGGGUUGUAAAGCUCUUUUAGUAGGGAAGAUAAUGACGGUACCUACAGAAAAAGCACCGGCUAACUUCGUGCCAGCAGCCGCCGUAA
Molecule: ribosomal RNA, 456 nt
Filed under: uncultured bacterium
Lineage: Bacteria
Description: partial 16S ribosomal RNA
Rfam family: Bacterial small subunit ribosomal RNA
Source: RNAcentral